CCUACGGGUGGCAGCAGUGAGGAAUAUUGGUCAAUGGGCGCGAGCCUGAACCAGCCAAGUAGCGUGCAGGAUGACUGCCCUACGGGUUGUAAACUGCUUUUGUACGGGGAUAACAUCCUCCACGUGUGCCUGUUUGUAUGUACUUUGUGAAUAAGGAUCGGCUAACUCCGUGCCAGCAGCCGCGGUAAUACGGAGGGUCCGAGCGUUAUCCGGAUUUAUUGGGUUUAAAGGGAGCGUAGAUGGGUGGUUAAGUCAGUUGUUAAAGUUUGCGGCUCAACCGGAAACUUGCAAUUGAUACUGGAAGCCUUGAGUACAGUACAGGGAGGCGGAAUUCGUGGUGUAGCGGUGAAAUGCAUAGAUAUCACGAAGAACCCCGAUUGCGAAGGCAGCCUACCAAGGUGCCACUGACAUUGAUGCUCGAAAGUGUGGGUAUCAAACAGGAUUAGAUACCCUUGUAGUC
Molecule: ribosomal RNA, 460 nt
Filed under: uncultured bacterium
Lineage: Bacteria
Description: partial 16S ribosomal RNA
Rfam family: Bacterial small subunit ribosomal RNA
Source: RNAcentral